RNAcentral lists this long non-coding RNA (2054 nucleotides) under Mus musculus (house mouse). RNAcentral's name for it is "long non-coding RNA chr13:89592468-89594522". Lineage: Eukaryota; Metazoa; Chordata; Mammalia; Rodentia; Muridae. The record is from RNAcentral.
UGAUAGUCACCAUUUUGGAUAAUUUAUUUAUUUUUACUUUUCACUUUUACUAAUUCUUUGAGAAUUUCAUACAAUAUAUCCUGAUCAUAUUCAUUCCCUCCCCAACACUUGCCAGAUCACCUUCCUUACCACUGACAUUGGUACCUUCUGCUUUUUAAAAACCUAUUAAAUACAGUUUGUGCUGCCCAUAUACUCUUGGGUGCAUGGUCUUUAUUGGGACAUGGUAAACUACCAGAGCCCUAGCCCUAAAAAAAAAAAAAAAAAAAAAAAAAAAAAAAAAAAAAAAAAAAAAAAAAAAAUAGACUCUCACUCUCCCCGCAUUUAUCAGCUGUCAAGAACUUCCUAGCCAGGGGAGGACUUCAUGGCUCCCUCCCCUCUCGAUACCGAGAUUUUGUCUGGCCUAAGACUGUCACAGAUGCUCUAAGUGCAUGUGUGUAACUGCAUUGCUCUGCUCAUAAAACACUGUUUUCUUGAAGUCAUAAAACACUGUUUUCUUGAAGUCAUUCACAGCGUCUGGCUUUUAAAAUAUUUCCACUUCCUUUGUUUCAGCAAAUCCCAAAUAUUGAGAAAAAUGAGAAUACAAUAGCUAUUCCAUUUACCUUUAAAGAAUCUCAUUCAGCACACUGUUAGGAUAUCCUAAUUCAAUCUUUUUCCUGUUUUUCUUAAUCUUUCUACAAUACCUUGAUUUAUUUAUUUUUCUCAGUUUAAAUUAAUAAGAAUUUAAUGCUAGAUUUCACCUGUUAUCUACUGGUAACAUAAAUACAUUUAAUUUCUGAAGAUUAUUAAGCAGAGAACUCUUAAGUCAACACAAAUACCAACACCAUUUCUUGCACUGAAACAAAUAGGAGACUUCGUGGCAUAAUGCAUCUGAAUUGACAUUUAUAAUCAGUUACAUGUAUGCAGACUGGUGGGAAGUGAGCCCUAUCAUCCCAUUUCAUCCUCUCCAACAACAGUAAGUAGUUGGUGAGUCACAUUAACAUUGACAGAGACUAAGCGUCCUGUCCCAGGCAGUUAGCUAUUGAAGCUGAGAUUCACAUUUUGCUGUGGACUGGACUCAGUCAGUCCCUCAACCCACGGGGAACCAGGGUCUCCGUGCUCAGGUGAGCAAGGAGUUGGUGAAAAGUGACAGACACUGACACAAAGAGAGUGCUGUAUCCAAAUGUAUUUUCUCAAAGCGAGCAUCAGACUUAUAUUACAAAAGAAAAUAAAGAAGUUAGGUGACACAUCAGCUAAGGUACAUUGACACAAAGCAGAGAAAUGCAUACAUAAAGACUGACAGGAACCAGGCAGUGUUUACAACUGAGAUAAAAGGCAGCCCUUUCUAAAGUCAGCCAUUAGAGAGCCAGGUGAGGGAUUCACACCCUAGUCACAAUCUAUGCUAUUCCUCUGAGCCUUGUGAAAGCUUGUACCAGGGGGUUAACCUUUUCAUGAAUAAUGCAAUACUGAAGUUCCUCCUUAAACCACAACCCACCUUCUUUCUACUAUCAUGUAAUGUAGGCUGCUAUUCAUGUCUGUAAUAAGAAUUCUAAGUUUACUAUUUUGAACUAGUCCCGAGAUUUCUAGCUCCUAUCUGGCAAACUGUGGGAUGCCUGAUUACUAUCAACACUGGAAGCAUUUUGUCUGAAUGAGUAACAGUCUUAUGAAAUUCCAAGCCCAGGGUCAGCUCAAGGACUGUCUACAACAUUGGUGAAGGCCAGGAAGCAAAGUUCAACCUAAUUUAGGUAUUUGUCAAAACAUUCCUUGGAGGCACGUACAAAAAAAAGCAAUGCUGAAAGAAAGCACACAGAGCCAUUCACCAACUAUAGCAAGGGACAAAUCUGAAAUACAUCUGUUUAUGGGGUGCCAGAAACUUUCCAGGAGACAACUUUCCAUGAAACUUUAUGCCUCAGGACUACGGCCAAGCUUUUGGAUUUGCCAUGCAAACUUCACUGGAGUGGGUGUGGCAACACUUGAGCAGUCUGCCUCUCUUGAGUAUCACACUCUCAUGUGAGCUGAUAGACUUUGUGUAAACUCCCUCACUCCCUGGGAAGUACUUUUUGAGGGCAAGAAUAGGU